CUCCAGCUUGCUGGGGGGAUUAGUGGCGAACGGGUGAGUAACACGUGAGUAACCUGCCCCUGACUCUGGGAUAAGCGCUGGAAACGGCGUCUAAUACCGGAUAUGACAAUCGACGGCAUCGUCUGGUUGUGGAAAGAAUUUCGGUUGGGGAUGGACUCGCGGCCUAUCAGGUUGUUGGUGAGGUAAUGGCUCACCAAGCCUACGACGGGUAGCCGGCCUGAGAGGGUGACCGGCCACACUGGGACUGAGACACGGCCCAGACUCCUACGGGAGGCAGCAGUGGGGAAUAUUGCACAAUGGGCGCAAGCCUGAUGCAGCAACGCCGCGUGAGGGACGACGGCCUUCGGGUUGUAAACCUCUUUUAGUAGGGAAGAAGCGAAAGUGACGGUACCUGCAGAAAAAGCACCGGCUAACUACGUGCCAGCAGCCGCGGUAAUACGUAGGGUGCAAGCGUUGUCCGGAAUUAUUGGGCGUAAAGAGCUCGUAGGCGGUUUGUCGCGUCUGCUGUGAAAACCGGAGGCUCAACCUCCGGCCUGCAGUGGGUACGGGCAGACUAGAGUGCGGUAGGGGAGAUUGGAAUUCCUGGUGUAGCGGUGGAAUGCGC
This 604-nucleotide ribosomal RNA is filed under the name Microbacteriaceae bacterium. Its description in RNAcentral is "bacterial SSU rRNA". It matches the Rfam family "Bacterial small subunit ribosomal RNA", at positions 73 to 691 of the family's 1533-position model. Lineage: Bacteria; Bacillati; Actinomycetota; Actinomycetes; Micrococcales; Microbacteriaceae. The record is from RNAcentral.